RNAcentral lists this ribosomal RNA (484 nucleotides) under uncultured bacterium. RNAcentral describes it as "partial 16S ribosomal RNA". It matches the Rfam family "Bacterial small subunit ribosomal RNA", at positions 29 to 523 of the family's 1533-position model. The record is from RNAcentral.
AGUGAACGCUGGCGGCGUGCUUAACACAUGCAAGUCGAACGAGAACGGAUUAUAGCUUGCUAUAAUUGUCAGCUAAGUGGCGCACGGGUGAGUAAUGUAUAGGUAAUAUGCCUCUUACUAAGGGAUAACAAAUGGAAACGUUUGCUAAUACCUUAUACUCCUUAUUAACAGAAGUUAAUAAGGGAAAGAUUUAUUGGUAAGAGAUUAGCCUGUAUUGUAUCAGUUAGUUGGUGGGGUAAUGGCUUACCAAGACUAUGACACAUAACUGGUUUGAGAGGAUGAUCAGUCACACUGGAACUGAUACACGGUCCAGACUCCUACGGGAGGCAGCAGUGGGGAAUAUUGCACAAUGGACGAAAGUCUGAUGCAGCAACGCCGCGUGGAGGAUGACACAUUUCGGUGCGUAAACUCCUUUUAUAUGAGAAGAUAAUGACGGUACUUGAGGAGGAAGCCCCGGCUAACUACGUGCCAGCCGCCGCAGUAA